Molecule: long non-coding RNA, 503 nt
Filed under: Cucumis sativus (cucumber)
Lineage: Eukaryota; Viridiplantae; Streptophyta; Magnoliopsida; Cucurbitales; Cucurbitaceae
Description: long non-coding RNA (CSAT_LNC002331)
Source: RNAcentral
AAUAUGUAAACCAACAAUAAUUCCAUUCUUCUCAACAAUGUCAUCAACAAUUAAACAAUUCCAAUCCAAUAUAGCCAACUAAAAUUUCCUAUAUGUGUCCUAUUCUAAAAUAUUAAAUGAUAAUAGUUGUCUUAUAUAAUCAAAAUUGAAGUCUAUCCCCAUAUAUCUUUGUCCUCAUAAUGGCUAUGAACAAAACGUUUCCACAAAAAAGGUUAUGAGCAUUCCCAUAUCUUAGAUCAUAUCUAGGUGUGUUUAUCAUAUGUACCGAGCUAAAAAUCCAGCCCACUCCCCUCGUACUUCAUCCAAUUCAAGCUGUGUGUAUGGGCUUCUCGUAUCAAUCUAUAAAACAUAAAAAGUAGAAUACACUUUGUAAAAUAUUUGAGUUAGUCAUAUUAUACUAUCUAUAACGUUAUAAUGUAAAUAGUUUAGAAACAUACCGCAUUAGUGACAAUGUUUGUGUCCUUAGUCACAAUUUCUCGCAUGUAUCUCAUGACAUAAUAUCC